GGGAAAUGAGGCUGGGGCCUGCUGGGCUGCAUCCCCAGAAAGUGAAGCAUUCCAAGCCUCUAGAUGUUUACAGUUGUAAAAAGUAAAGCAGAGGUUCCUCUUCAAAGACUUUCCUACCGAUCUAAUUAGGAAUAAAUAAUAAUUUCUCUUAGAAGCAAAAUUUAUUCAAAGACCUGUGCUAACAUUCUUAAAUAUCUGCUAGCAGUAAUAAAGAAAGCAACGUACUACUUUACGUUUUUAGCUCCCACAAUUUAGCCUAAAUAUUUGCCCUGGCAUGCUUAUACUGGUCCAAGCGGGCAUUAGGUCAUAGCCUGUUCCUCUUCCUUAUUUGAAGGUGUUUUUACCUUUCUCAGCAUUCCACAAAUUCCUUCCUUCCUUUGUUCUCCUCUGCCUUUGCCUCUUUUAAAAAGUUCUAAGUUGCUAGCCAAUCGGGACAAAUACAGAAGGUGAGGUCCCAUCCCAACCAGUGGAAACCGGACACAGCAGUAGGGUGGACGCGUCAGGUUAUAAAUGACCCUGUUUCCUUUGUUGGGUGAACUCUCGUGGCAAAGCUGCUAGCAAGUGUGUCCUUUCUGCAGGAAGUAAAAAUGGCCUUGCUGAGUAAAUUAAAUUUAUGUUCAACUGCUACUUCUUGACGGCACCGGGGAACAAGCAUUUCAAGCAAUUUGGUGGCAAUCCGUACGGGGCUACAUUCUCCUCCGGGGGCGGUCUCCAGUCCUCUCAUGAGGGAGCACGCUCCUCUGCCUCACUGCAGUGGCCUCAGGGAUGAGAAAUCGAGACCCACCUGGUGUGACGAAUAAACCUGGACUCUCAGCAAUGCAGAAAAAAAAAAAAAAAAGAAACUGGCCAGCAACCUAAGGUAAACGAUUCUCACACACCAGGGCUACAACUCUGUGCUCAGACGAAGGAACGAGACGCCACAGGAGCUGAACUAAAAGUCUUUUAGGACAGGUACCACCCCUAGAAUUUCCAGUACACCAGCACCAGCCUGAAAACCACGUCCUCAUCAAAAGACAGAAAGAAAAAACUUGAGCCAGCCUGGGAAGAACCCUAUUUUAUGCUGUUAACCACUGAGACUGCUGUCCGCAGAGCCAAGAAAAAAAUGGACCCACCACACUCCAGUCAAGAAAAAUCUUUCUCUCAGAAUCAUGGGUGACUGUACUAGGACCAAGCCCUACUAAGUUAAAGUUAAAGAAAGCUUAAUUUUCAUGUACCUUCUAUAUUGCUUCCUUUCCUUUCCUUAUUCUGUUACUAGCUCCUUUGUUAUUCCUGUAACUAACUCACCUCGGACCACUGCCUUUAAUGCUUGCUCUGUCAUACCUUGCGGAAAUGUAAAAGAUCAACAACAGCUAGCCUUUUCACACAAAUACUUAUGUCCCAGCCCUCUAAUUGACACGGUUACCCCUAGCACUCAUUAUUGUAAUGACCUGCAGUCCAGACGCCAAUUUUCUGCUCCUACAGCCUGGCAACCUCGUAGUAAAUGGACUACAUACAUUAAACUGCUCAGGAGCAAAGUUAAACUUCCACGAAAAAGGUUUGUGCAGAUCUAAAACCCCUCAUCUAUUUCACUGAAAGGACUACCCC
Molecule: long non-coding RNA, 1584 nt
Organism: Pongo pygmaeus (Bornean orangutan)
Lineage: Eukaryota; Metazoa; Chordata; Mammalia; Primates; Hominidae
Exons: 2
Source: RefSeq, a predicted model, not a curated record